ACAGAAGAUUACAGAGUAGGAACAAUAAUCCUGAGAGUAUUAAUCUUAGUCAAGUUACGGCAUCCUCCAAAAUUGCAAGAGGCUAUAGAAUCGUAAAACCUAGAAACCCAGACGAUCCAGCAAGUUUAUCGGCCACAACGCUGCGGACAUAAUCGUGAUAGCUUGCAUUGAAGUGUUCGAAUCGUUGUUGAGAGGGCAGAGAUGGUUCAUGGAGUCAACUGAAACUCGCAUUUGAUUCAUCGUGCCGCUAAUAUCGUUUGGUUAAACUCUUCACUCUUCCCAAUUCUCUAUUUCAUCGAUCCAGAUACUUCAUUCUUCCCAAUUCAAUUCCUUAAACACCACUCCGCUGCAUAUGACGUUGCCUUUCUCGAAAGGUGUCGACUUUGUUUCAUUCCAACGUUAUUGCGCUUCUGGAGCAAUGGCUAUCGCGCCAGCUGAACCUUGAUGAGUAUCCUUCAUGGGGAUCCAGAAGUGUUGAUUGCUUGGAAAAGUUGGAGCAGAUUGGCGAGGGAACUCAUGGCCUGCAGGUAGAGUUGUUUGCCUAUUUCUGCUCCAAAAUAUCUUGUUUCUGGGUGUAUUCUUCAUUGCUGACACUGCAACUGCAAGAAGGAACUGAUCUAUACCUUUGUACAUGGCUAGAGAAAUCAGAACAGGUGACAUUGUUGCUUUGAAGAAAUAAGAAUGGACAAUGAGAGAGAGGGUGUGUCUCUUCCAUCACCUUGCUGAAUGUUAUUUGCUCUAUUAUGGGUGCAUACGAUAAUUCUGUUUACAGUCCAGUUGAUGUUUUCACGAUGAGAAUUUCAAGUAACACUUCGUAAUUGAGAAAGUAUUAUUGGUUGUUCU
Molecule: long non-coding RNA, 843 nt
Organism: Prosopis cineraria
Lineage: Eukaryota; Viridiplantae; Streptophyta; Magnoliopsida; Fabales; Fabaceae
Exons: 3
Source: RefSeq, a predicted model, not a curated record